This 616-nucleotide ribosomal RNA is filed under the name uncultured bacterium. Its description in RNAcentral is "bacterial SSU rRNA". The stretch from base 1 to 521 matches the Rfam family "Bacterial small subunit ribosomal RNA", at positions 338 to 873 of the family's 1533-position model. The record is from RNAcentral.
CCUACGGGAGGCAGCAGUGGGGAAUAUUGGGCAAUGGAGGAAACUCUGACCCAGCGACGCCGCGUGCGGGAUGAAGGCCUUCGGGUUGUAAACCGCUUUCAGCAGGGAAGAAGCGAAAGUGACGGUACCUGCAGAAGAAGCACCGGCUAACUAUGUGCCAGCAGCCGCGGUAAUACAUAGGGUGCAAGCGUUGUCCGGAAUUAUUGGGCGUAAAGAGCUCGUAGGUGGUUCGUCACGUCGGAUGUGAAAAUCUGGGGCUUAACCCCAGACCUGCAUUCGAUACGGGCGAGCUUGAGUAUGGUAGGGGAGUCUGGAAUUCCUGGUGUAGCGGUGGAAUGCGCAGAUAUCAGGAGGAACACCAAUGGCGAAGGCAGGACUCUGGGCCAUUACUGACACUGAGGAGCGAAAGCGUGGGGAGCGAACAGGAUUAGGAUACCCUGGUAGUCCACGCCGUAAACGGUGGGCACUAGUUGUGGGGACCUUCCACGGUCUCUGCGACGCNGCUACGCAUAGUGCCCGCCGUCGGGAGGUACGAGUCGCGAAGAAGUUAAACGUACGUAAAGUUAAGUUAGUACGGCGUUGAGACGUUGCCGACGGACGACGACGAGGGAGGAGG